This 429-nucleotide ribosomal RNA is filed under the name Bacillota bacterium. Its description in RNAcentral is "Firmicutes bacterium partial 16S ribosomal RNA". It matches the Rfam family "Bacterial small subunit ribosomal RNA", at positions 355 to 776 of the family's 1533-position model. The record is from RNAcentral. Lineage: Bacteria; Bacillati; Bacillota.
UGGGGAAUUUUGGACAAUGGGCGAAAGCCUGAUCCAGCAAUGCCGCGUGUGUGAAGAAGGCCUUCGGGUUGUAAAGCACUUUUGUCCGGAAAGAAAUGGCUCUGGUUAAUACCUGGGGUCGAUGACGGUACCGGAAGAAUAAGGACCGGCUAACUACGUGCCAGCAGCCGCGGUAAUACGUAGGGUCCAAGCGUUAAUCGGAAUUACUGGGCGUAAAGCGUGCGCAGGCGGUUGUGCAAGACCGAUGUGAAAUCCCCGAGCUUAACUUGGGAAUUGCAUUGGUGACUGCACGGCUAGAGUGUGUCAGAGGGGGGUAGAAUUCCACGUGUAGCAGUGAAAUGCGUAGAGAUGUGGAGGAAUACCGAUGGCGAAGGCAGCCCCCUGGGAUAACACUGACGCUUAUGCACGAAAGCGUGGGGAGCAAACAGG